Long non-coding RNA from Lineus longissimus, 866 nucleotides. RefSeq lists it as uncharacterized. The transcript has 2 exons. NCBI's taxonomy places the organism in Eukaryota, Metazoa, Nemertea, Pilidiophora, Heteronemertea, Lineidae. The record is from RefSeq and is a predicted model, not a curated record.
CAUUGACAACCAUCAAGUUUCCGCUCCUGAACUACUGGCCUGAAAGUUAUCAGAACUUUUCAAUAAGUGCUGCAUCUCCUGGAAUGUUUAACUAGGCCUGCUUAGAAUGGCUCGAUCAGUCCAGCCACAGCUUGCUUCGUAACGAUGACGAUCUAUUUUGCCACCAUCACGUACCCUGUACCAAGCCUAUAUGAAUGUUGCUUGAGGGGUAGGAUGCCAUGCCACUUCAUAGAAUCCCAAGGUACUGCUUGGAACCCUCGCAAGAAGCCUCGCAGCAUGUAUCACGCUCUCGAAACGGGUUUUGGCUAACGCACACAUACUCACAAAAAAUAUGCAACACAAAAAAUGCGUUUUUUAGAAACUCAAAAACUCGAAGAGGCUCCUCGUGAAUUUUAUCAGCAUGUUUUUGAUUCAUAGCAUCAUGAGUGCGAUACAGAAAGUCAGCGGAUAAAGUGUCACAUUGCGACAGACACUCUCGUGGAAGGAUUGUUGACUUUUGCCCGGCGAUAGGUUUGAUAUGAAGACCCAAGGACCCCCUAAUUUCAUUGCAUACCGUUUCAGUUUUAUCGAGAUAUGUAACACUUUGUAUAAACAUGUAUCUUGGUACAGUGUCACGAUCUAGACAACACGGGGUCCGACGAGUUUUUAAUUUCAUCAAGUUCAUGACAAGUGCAAUAGAUCAUAUCACACGAAUAAAAGGGAAACCAAGUGGUGGACUCGGCAGCUUUUCCAACGGUUAAGCUUUAGAUGAGGCGAAUACAUUCAAUUUUCGGAUAUCGCCAAUCGCGAGCUGGUGCGCAUAUCGCACGUGCGCGCGCAGCGUCUAGCGAGAAAGAACCAUGAAAACCAUUGAUAUCUAAUUGAAA